Molecule: ribosomal RNA, 502 nt
Filed under: uncultured Coprobacillus sp.
Lineage: Bacteria; Bacillati; Bacillota; Erysipelotrichia; Erysipelotrichales; Coprobacillaceae
Description: bacterial SSU rRNA
Rfam family: Bacterial small subunit ribosomal RNA
Source: RNAcentral
GAGUUUGAUCCUGGCGUCAGGAUGAACGCUGGCGGCGUGCCUAAUACAUGCAAGUCGAACGCACUGAUUUAUCAGUGAGUGGCGAACGGGUGAGUAAUACAUAGGUAACCUGCCCUGUCGAGGGGGAUAACUAUUGGAAACGAUAGCUAAAACCGCAUAGGUGAAGAGAUCGCAUGGUCACUUCAUUAAAUAUCCUACGGGAUAGCGAGAGGAUGGACUUAUGGCGCAUUAGCUAGUUGGUGAGGUAACGGCUCACCAAGGCGACGAUGCGUAGCCGACCUGAGAGGGUGGACGGCCACACUGGGACUGAGACACGGCCCAGACUCCUACGGGAGGCAGCAGUAGGGAAUUUUCGGCAAUGGGGGAAACCCUGACCGAGCAACGCCGCGUGAGGGAAGAAGUAUUUCGGUAUGUAAACCUCUGUUAUAAAGGAAGAACGGUAUUAAUAGGGAAUGAUUAAUAAGUGACGGUACUUUAUGAGAAAGCCACGGCUAACUACGUG